GACGAACGCUGGCGGCGUGCUUAACACAUGCAAGUCGAACGGUAAGGCCCUUCGGGGUACACGAGUGGCGAACGGGUGAGUAACACGUGGGUGAUCUGCCCUGCACUUCGGGAUAAGCCUGGGAAACUGGGUCUAAUACCGGAUAGGACCACUGCCUGCAUGGGUGGUGGUGGAAAGCUGUUGCGGUGUGGGAUGGGCCCGCGGCCUAUCAGCUUGUUGGUGGGGUGAUGGCCUACCAAGGCGACGACGGGUAGCCGGCCUGAGAGGGUGACCGGCCACACGGGGACUGAGAUACGGCCCAGACUCCUACGGGAGGCAGCAGGGGGGAAUAUUGCACAAUGGGCGCAAGCCGGAUGCAGCGACGCCGCGUGAGGGAUGACGGCCUUCGGGUUGUAAACCUCUUUCAGCACCGACGAAGCGCAAGUGACGGUAGGUGCAGAAGAAGGACCGGCCAACUACGUGCCAGCAGCCGCCGUAA
Molecule: ribosomal RNA, 478 nt
Filed under: uncultured bacterium
Lineage: Bacteria
Description: partial 16S ribosomal RNA
Rfam family: Bacterial small subunit ribosomal RNA
Source: RNAcentral